CGGURGGCCCUUUCGGGGGUACACGAGUGGCGAACGGGUGAGUAACACGUGGGUGACCUGCCCUGUACUUCGGGAUAAGCCUGGGAAACUGGGUCUAAUACCGGAUAUGACCUUCUCCUGCAUGGGGGUUGGUGGAAAGUUUUUGCGGUACAGGAUGGGCCCGCGGCCUAUCAGCUUGUUGGUGGGGUAAUGGCCUACCAAGGCGACGACGGGUAGCCGGCCUGAGAGGGCGACCGGCCACACUGGGACUGAGACACGGCCCAGACUCCUACGGGAGGCAGCAGUGGGGAAUAUUGCACAAUGGGCGAAAGCCUGAUGCAGCGACGCCGCGUGAGGGAUGACGGCCUUCGGGUUGUAAACCUCUUUCAGUAGGGACGAAGCGCAAGUGACGGUACCUACAGAAGAAGCACCGGCCAACUACGUGCCAGCAGCCGCGGUAAUACGUAGGGUGCGAGCGUUGUCCGGAUUUACUGGGCGUAAAGAGCACGUAGGCGGUUUGUCACGUCGUCUGUGAAAACCCGAGGCUUAACCUCGGGCCUGCAGGCGAUACGGGCAGACUUGAGUACUGUAGGGGAGACUGGAAUUCCUGGUGUAGCGGUGGAAUGCGCAGAUAUCAGGAGGAACACCGGUGGCGAAGGCGGGUCUCUGGGCAGUAACUGACGCUGAGGAGCGAAAGCGUGGGUAGCGAACAGGAUUAGAUACCCUGGUAGUCCACGCCGUAAACGGUGGGUACUAGGUGUGGGUUUCCUUCCACGGGAUCCGUGCCGUAGCUAACGCAUUAAGUACCCCCGCCUGGGGGAGUACGGCCGCAAGGCUAAAACUCAAAGG
This 828-nucleotide ribosomal RNA is filed under the name Tsukamurella tyrosinosolvens. RNAcentral describes it as "bacterial SSU rRNA". It matches the Rfam family "Bacterial small subunit ribosomal RNA", at positions 67 to 907 of the family's 1533-position model. Lineage: Bacteria; Bacillati; Actinomycetota; Actinomycetes; Mycobacteriales; Tsukamurellaceae. The record is from RNAcentral.